GCCGGUGUGGCUCAGUGGUUGAGCGUCAGCCUAUGAACCAGGACAUCCAGGUCCAAUUCCUGGUUAGGGCA
Myotis brandtii (Brandt's bat) is the source of this 71-nucleotide non-coding RNA. The record is from Rfam. Lineage: Eukaryota; Metazoa; Chordata; Mammalia; Chiroptera; Vespertilionidae.